UGAGGAAUAUUGGUCAAUGGACGCAAGUCUGAACCAGCCAAGUAGCGUGCAGGAUGACGGCCCUAUGGGUUGUAAACUGCUUUUAUAUAGGGAUAAAGUGGGGAACGUGUUCCCUUUUGCAGGUACCAUAUGAAUAAGGACCGGCUAAUUCCGUGCCAGCAGCCGCGGUAAUACGGAAGGUUCGGGCGUUAUCCGGAUUUAUUGGGUUUAAAGGGAGCGUAGGCCGUUUGGUAAGCGUGUUGUGAAAUGUAGGAGCUCAACUUCUAGAUUGCAGCGCGAACUGUCAGACUUGAGUGCGCACAACGUAGGCGGAAUUCAUGGUGUAGCGGUGAAAUGCUUAGAUAUCAUGAAGAACUCCGAUUGCGAAGGCAGCUUACGGGAGCGCAACUGACGCUGAAGCUCGAAGGUGCGGGUAUCGAACAGG
Molecule: ribosomal RNA, 424 nt
Filed under: Verrucomicrobiota bacterium
Lineage: Bacteria; Pseudomonadati; Verrucomicrobiota
Description: Verrucomicrobia bacterium partial 16S ribosomal RNA
Rfam family: Bacterial small subunit ribosomal RNA
Source: RNAcentral